This 434-nucleotide ribosomal RNA is filed under the name uncultured bacterium. RNAcentral's name for it is "partial 16S ribosomal RNA". It matches the Rfam family "Bacterial small subunit ribosomal RNA", at positions 27 to 507 of the family's 1533-position model. The record is from RNAcentral.
GAACGAACGCUGGCGGCAUGCCUAACACAUGCAAGUCGAACGAGACCUUCGGGUCUAGUGGCGCACGGGUGCGUAACGCGUGGGAACCUGCCCUUAGGUUCGGAAUAACUCCCCGAAAGGGGUGCUAAUACCGGAUAAUGUCUUCGGACCAAAGAUUUAUUGCCUUUGGAUGGGCCCGCGUUGGAUUAGCUAGUUGGUAGGGUAAAAGCCUACCAAGGCGACGAUCCAUAGCUGGUCUGAGAGGAUGAUCAGCCACACUGGGACUGAGACACGGCCCAGACUCCUACGGGAGGCAGCAGUGGGGAAUAUUGGACAAUGGGCGAAAGCCUGAUCCAGCAAUGCCGCGUGAGUGAUGAAGGCCUUAGGGUUGUAAAGCUCUUUUACCCGGGAUGAUAAUGACAGUACCGGGAGAAUAAGCUCCGGCUAACUCCGUG